UGCCAACUAUUCUCUAUCAGUUUAGAGCAUCCCCACCAGUUGCUACAUUCGGUUGCUAAAAACGAUUAGGCACCCCUUCACCAUAACUUGGCAACCACACCGGGAGUUGCCAUUCGGCAACUGUGUGUGUGCAAUCGCCAUUUGUCUAGUGGAAGCGAAACGAUUCGGAGCUUUUAUUUAUAGAAAACAAUAGCAAGGUUUCACGCAGUCGUAAAAACUGCACUAGCUGAUGAACAAUAUGCGACGGCGGAAGUUCCACAAUCUUAAACACAUCGUCACAAAAACAAUGAUUCUACAGCAGUACUUGGCGACGAUACCCAGCGAAAAUCAUAACCAUCAUUACCACCGACAGCAGCCCAUAACUUCGGACGGAGGGAAAGCGAUAUGUGUCCCAUCUGCGAUAUAGUUUCCUUCGCAAAUCACGACUUCACGUCCGGUCGCUCAACAACAACAAAAAACCGUGUCCAAGGAUAAUGGGGAGAGUAAGUUUGUGUGGCGCUUCAUUGCUGGAUCGGUACAUGCUGCCUUCGCUCGGAUAUGGAGCGUCACAUCAAGCAGUAACAUUCCUAAUUCUGGUCGAAGCGCGGAGGACAUCAUUGGAUGCGCAACCAGAUAAUUCGACCGAGGCGGAGGCGUCGGCAAUCAAUCAAUCCGCCAAGGGAAAUAGACAAAGAUUUGAUGUUCCGCUGUCAGUUUCGAUUGGGAUUUCCAGUGAAAAUAGGUAAAUGCUUGAUUAUUUUUAAAAUGUUUGCCACUUUGUUACGCAAUUCGUUCUAUUUUGUAGAAAUAUCGCUACUCUGUGUGGUUGUCAUAUUUGACAACGUAUUCGCAUAAGAGCUCCCGCAAACUGCAUACUUUUUAUCGGCAGAAAAUUUGAUCGAGUUGGCCUGUUAGUGCAAAAACCGACCCAACUGAAUCGGUAUAACGUGCGCAUAUGCAUAUCUCUCCAUACUGAUCAAGUUGGCCGAUCAAACUAUCGGCCGUAUAACAGUCUGCAAUCUGCGGGGGCUCUUAUGCGAAUACGUUGUCAAAUAUGACAACCACACAGAGUAGCGAUAUUUCUACAAAAUAGAACGAAUUGCGUAACAGAAGAGCGUGCAACAUGCAUUAUCGAGGAUUACUGUUUUGAUGUCCCAUCCGAGUACGUACGACGUAAUGCCGAUUUGAGGAAGCAGGAAAGAGAAAGGAAAACCU
This is a long non-coding RNA of Toxorhynchites rutilus septentrionalis, 1194 nucleotides long. RefSeq lists it as uncharacterized. The transcript is spliced from 4 exons. The record is from RefSeq and is a predicted model, not a curated record. NCBI's taxonomy places the organism in Eukaryota, Metazoa, Arthropoda, Insecta, Diptera, Culicidae.